RNAcentral lists this transfer RNA (64 nucleotides) under Cicadula sp. EMHAU-2015-Zz052713. Its description in RNAcentral is "tRNA-Arg". The record is from RNAcentral. Lineage: Eukaryota; Metazoa; Arthropoda; Insecta; Hemiptera; Cicadellidae.
AACAAAGAAGUAAAAUAUACAUUUAGUUUCGACCUAAAAUCUUAAGGAAUUCUCCUUCUUGUUU